This 427-nucleotide ribosomal RNA is filed under the name uncultured bacterium. RNAcentral describes it as "bacterial SSU rRNA". It matches the Rfam family "Bacterial small subunit ribosomal RNA", at positions 355 to 775 of the family's 1533-position model. The record is from RNAcentral.
UCGAGAAUUUUUCACAAUGGGCGAAAGCCUGAUGGAGCGACGCCGCGUGGGGGAUGAAUGGCUUCGGCCCGUAAACCCCUGUCAUUUGCGAUCAACCGUUGUUAUUUAAAAGAUGACAGCCUGAUAGUAGCGAAAGAGGAAGGGACGGCUAACUCUGUGCCAGCAGCCGCGGUAAUACAGAGGUCCCAAGCGUUGUUCGGAUUCACUGGGCGUAAAGGGUGCGUAGGUGGCGGGGUAAGUCGGAUGUGAAAUCUCGGAGCUCAACUCCGAAAUGGCAUUGGAAACUACCCUGCUCGAGGAUUGGAGGGGGGACUGGAAUACUUGGUGUAGCAGUGAAAUGCGUAGAUAUCAAGUGGAACACCAGUGGCGAAGGCGAGUCCCUGGACAACUCCUGACACUGAGGCACGAAAGCUAGGGGAGCAAACAG